Small nuclear RNA from Dipodomys ordii (Ord's kangaroo rat), 103 nucleotides. Lineage: Eukaryota; Metazoa; Chordata; Mammalia; Rodentia; Heteromyidae. The record is from Ensembl.
AUAACGAAACAUGAUAGCUGUGCUCACUUCGGCAGCACACAAAGAAGAUUAGCAUGGGCCCAGUACAAGGAUGACAGGCAAAUUCAUGGUGUUUCAUAUCUUU